UACGAAGGGUGCAAGCGUUAAUCGGAAUUACUGGGCGUAAAGGGUGCGUAGAUGGCCUUUUAAGUCAGCUGUGAAAUCCCCGGGCUUAACCUGGGACCUGCAGCUGAUACUGGAAGGCUUGGAGUCUGAGAGAGGGUGGUAGAAUUCCUGGUGUAGCGGUGAAAUGCGUAGAGAUCAGGAGGAAUACUAGUGGCGAAGGCGGCCACCUGGCUUAAGACUGACGUUGAGGCACGAAAGCGUGGGGAGCAAACAGG
This 254-nucleotide ribosomal RNA is filed under the name uncultured bacterium. Its description in RNAcentral is "partial 16S ribosomal RNA". It matches the Rfam family "Bacterial small subunit ribosomal RNA", at positions 524 to 776 of the family's 1533-position model. The record is from RNAcentral.